This 694-nucleotide ribosomal RNA is filed under the name Porpidia melinodes. RNAcentral's name for it is "LSU rRNA". It matches the Rfam family "Eukaryotic large subunit ribosomal RNA", at positions 43 to 756 of the family's 3401-position model. Lineage: Eukaryota; Fungi; Ascomycota; Lecanoromycetes; Lecideales; Lecideaceae. The record is from RNAcentral.
UCAAUAAGCGGCAGNAAAAGAAACCAACAGGGAUUGCCUCAGUAACGGCGAGUGAAGCGGCAACAGCUCAAAUUUGAAAUCUGACCCCUUCGGGGCCCGAGUUGUAAUUUGUAGAGGAUGCUUCGGGUGCGGCGCCGGUCUAAGUUCCUUGGAACAGGACGUCAUAGAGGGUGAGAAUCCCGUAUGCGACCGGCGGCCAACCCCGUGUGAAGCCCCUUCGACGAGUCGAGUUGUUUGGGAAUGCAGCUCAAAAUGGGUGGUAAAUUUCAUCUAAAGCUAAAUACCGGCCAGAGACCGAUAGCGCACAAGUAGAGUGAUCGAAAGAUGAAAAGCACUUUGGAAAGAGAGUCAAACAGUACGUGAAAUUGUUGAAAGGGAAGCGCUUGCAACCAGACCUGCCCGCGGGCGAUCAGCCGUUAUUCUUAGCGGUGCACUCGUCCGCGAUCAGGCCAGCAUCGGUUCGAGCGGCCGGAUAAAGGCCUCGGGAAUGUAGCUCCCCCCGGGGAGUCUUAUAGCCCGGGGUGCAAUGCGGCCAGCCCGGACCGAGGACCGCGCUUCGGCUAGGAUGCUGGCGUAAUGGUUGUAAGCGACCCGUCUUGAAACACGGACCAAGGAGUCUAACAUCUAUGCGAGUGUUUGGGUGUCAAACCAUGCGCGGAAUGAAAGUGAACGGAGGUGGAACCCGCGAGGGCGC